Molecule: ribosomal RNA, 497 nt
Filed under: uncultured bacterium
Lineage: Bacteria
Description: partial 16S ribosomal RNA
Rfam family: Bacterial small subunit ribosomal RNA
Source: RNAcentral
GAUGAACGCUGGCGGCGUGCCUAAUACAUGCAAGUCGAGCGAACAGACGGGGAGCUUGCUCCUCUGACGUUAGCGGCGGACGGGUGAGUAACACGUGGAUAACCUACCUAUAAGACUGGGAUAACUUCGGGAAACCGGAGCUAAUACCGGAUAAUAUAUUGAACCGCGUGGUUCAAUAGUGAAAGACGGUUUUGCUGUCACUUAUAGAUGGAUCCGCGCCGCAUUAGCUAGUUGGUAAGGUAACGGCUUACCAAGGCGACGAUGCGUAGCCGACCUGAGAGGGUGAUCGGCCACACUGGAACUGAGACACGGUCCAGACUCCUACGGGAGGCAGCAGUAGGGAAUCUUCCGCAAUGGGCGAAAGCCUGACGGAGCAACGCCGCGUGAGUGAUGAAGGUCUUCGGAUCGUAAAACUCUGUUAUUAGGGAAGAACAAAUGUGUAAGUAACUAUGCACGUCUUGACGGUACCUAAUCAGAAAGCCACGGCUAACUACGUG